Long non-coding RNA from Octopus sinensis (East Asian common octopus), 151 nucleotides. RefSeq lists it as uncharacterized. The transcript has 3 exons. Lineage: Eukaryota; Metazoa; Mollusca; Cephalopoda; Octopoda; Octopodidae. The record is from RefSeq and is a predicted model, not a curated record.
ACAACUGUCACUACACAAACCUGACGAUUGCAUAACGCAUGAAAGUACUAGUUUAUUUCAAUACUGUAAAAUUGUAAAAAUUGCAAAUAAUAAAACGUGAAAAUCAGACUAAGUUGGAAUAUUUCAAAUUUCACUGAUAUUCAUCUAAACG